RNAcentral lists this ribosomal RNA (447 nucleotides) under uncultured bacterium. RNAcentral's name for it is "bacterial SSU rRNA". It matches the Rfam family "Bacterial small subunit ribosomal RNA", at positions 355 to 825 of the family's 1533-position model. The record is from RNAcentral.
UGGGGAAUAUUGGACAAUGGGCGCAAGCCUGAUCCAGCGACGCCGCGUGUGUGAAGAAGGCCUGCGGGUUGUAAAACUCUUUUGGCGGGGACGAUAAUGACGGUACCCGCAGAAUAAGCCCCGGCUAACUUCGUGCCAGCAGCCGCGGUAAUACGAAGGGGGCUAGCGUUGUUCGGAAUCACUGGGCGUAAAGCGCACGUAGGCGGAUGUGCCAGUCAGGGGUGAAAUCCCGGAGCUCAACUCCGGAACUGCCUCUGAUACAGCACGUCUUGAGUUCGAGAGAGGUGGGUGGAAUUCCUAGUGUAGAGGUGAAAUUCGUAGAUAUUAGGAAGAACACCGGUGGCGAAGGCGGCCCACUGGCUCGAUACUGACGCUGAGGUGCGAAAGCGUGGGGAGCAAACAGGAUUAGAUACCCCAGUAGUCCCUGAGCGGGCUGGCAAGGCGCAU